RNAcentral lists this ribosomal RNA (481 nucleotides) under uncultured bacterium. RNAcentral describes it as "partial 16S ribosomal RNA". It matches the Rfam family "Bacterial small subunit ribosomal RNA", at positions 30 to 507 of the family's 1533-position model. The record is from RNAcentral.
AUUGAACGCUGGCGGCAUGCUUUACACAUGCAAGUCGAACGGUAACAGGCCGCAAGGUGCUGACGAGUGGCGAACGGGUGAGUAAUGCAUCGGAACGUGCCCAGUCGUGGGGGAUAACUACUCGAAAGAGUAGCUAAUACCGCAUACGAUCUAUGGAUGAAAGCGGGGACCGUUAGGCCCCGGGCCGAUUGGACCGGCGAUGUCAGAUUAGGUAGUUGGUGGGGUAAAGGCUCACCAAGCCAACGAUCUGUAGCUGGUCUGAGAGGACGACCAGCCACACUGGGACUGAGACACGGCCCAGACUCCUACGGGAGGCAGCAGUGGGGAAUUUUGGACAAUGGGCGCAAGCCUGAUCCAGCAAUGCCGCGUGCAGGAGGAAGGCCUUCGGGUUGUAAACUGCUUUUGUACGGAACGAAACGGCUCUGGUUAAUACCCGGGGCUAAUGACGGUACCGUAAGAAUAAGCACCGGCUAACUACGUG